AGCGAACGCUGGCGGCAGGCUUAACACAUGCAAGUCGAGCGGACCUUUCGGGGUCAGCGGCGGACGGGUGAGUAACGCGUGGGAACGUGCCUUCCGGUUCGGAAUAACCCUGGGAAACUAGGGCUAAUACCGGAUACGCCCUUAUGGGGAAAGGUUUACUGCCGGAAGAUCGGCCCGCGUCUGAUUAGCUAGUUGGUGGGGUAACGGCCUACCAAGGCGACGAUCAGUAGCUGGUCUGAGAGGAUGAUCAGCCACACUGGGACUGAGACACGGCCCAGACUCCUACGGGAGGCAGCAGUGGGGAAUAUUGGACAAUGGGCGCAAGCCUGAUCCAGCCAUGCCGCGUGAGUUAUGAAGGCCUUAGGGUUGUAAAGCUCUUUUAUCCGGGACGAUAAUGACGGUACCGGAGGAAUAAGCCCCGGCUAACUUCGUG
Molecule: ribosomal RNA, 433 nt
Filed under: uncultured bacterium
Lineage: Bacteria
Description: partial 16S ribosomal RNA
Rfam family: Bacterial small subunit ribosomal RNA
Source: RNAcentral